RNAcentral lists this ribosomal RNA (460 nucleotides) under uncultured bacterium. RNAcentral describes it as "partial 16S ribosomal RNA". It matches the Rfam family "Bacterial small subunit ribosomal RNA", at positions 338 to 795 of the family's 1533-position model. The record is from RNAcentral.
CCUACGGGAGGCAGCAGUGAGGAAUAUUGGUCAAUGGACGAGAGUCUGAACCAGCCAAGUAGCGUGAAGGAUGACUGCCCUAUGGGUUGUAAACUUCUUUUAUAUGGGAAUAAAACGUUCCACGUGUGGGAUUUUGUAUGUAACAUAUGAAUAAGGAUCGGCUAACUCCGUGCCAGCAGCCGUGGUAAUAAGGAGGAUCCGAGCGUUAUCCGGAUUUAUUGGGGUUAAAGGGAGCGUAGGUGGAUUGUUAAGUCAGUUGUGAAAGUUUGCGGCUCAAACGUAAAAUUGCAGUUGAAACUGGCAGUCUUGAGUACAGUAGAGGUGGGCGGAAUUCGUGGUGUAGCGGUGAAAUGCUUAGAUAUCACGAAGAACUCCGAUUGCGAAGGCAGUUCACUGGACUGCAACUGACACUGAGGCUCGAAAGUGUGGGUAUCAAACAGGAUUAGAUACCCCAGUAGUC